This 1407-nucleotide ribosomal RNA is filed under the name Bacillus tequilensis. RNAcentral's name for it is "bacterial SSU rRNA". It matches the Rfam family "Bacterial small subunit ribosomal RNA", at positions 71 to 1444 of the family's 1533-position model. Lineage: Bacteria; Bacillati; Bacillota; Bacilli; Caryophanales; Bacillaceae. The record is from RNAcentral.
GAUGGGAGCUUGCUCCCUGAUGUUAGCGGCGGACGGGUGAGUAACACGUGGGUAACCUGCCUGUAAGACUGGGAUAACUCCGGGAAACCGGGGCUAAUACCGGAUGGUUGUUUGAACCGCAUGGUUCAAACAUAAAAGGUGGCUUCGGCUACCACUUACAGAUGGACCCGCGGCGCAUUAGCUAGUUGGUGAGGUAACGGCUCACCAAGGCAACGAUGCGUAGCCGACCUGAGAGGGUGAUCGGCCACACUGGGACUGAGACACGGCCCAGACUCCUACGGGAGGCAGCAGUAGGGAAUCUUCCGCAAUGGACGAAAGUCUGACGGAGCAACGCCGCGUGAGUGAUGAAGGUUUUCGGAUCGUAAAGCUCUGUUGUUAGGGAAGAACAAGUACCGUUCGAAUAGGGCGGUACCUUGACGGUACCUAACCAGAAAGCCACGGCUAACUACGUGCCAGCAGCCGCGGUAAUACGUAGGUGGCAAGCGUUGUCCGGAAUUAUUGGGCGUAAAGGGCUCGCAGGCGGUUUCUUAAGUCUGAUGUGAAAGCCCCCGGCUCAACCGGGGAGGGUCAUUGGAAACUGGGGAACUUGAGUGCAGAAGAGGAGAGUGGAAUUCCACGUGUAGCGGUGAAAUGCGUAGAGAUGUGGAGGAACACCAGUGGCGAAAGCGACUCUCUGGUCUGUAACUGACGCUGAGGAGCGAAGCGUGGGGAGCGAACAGGAUUAGAUACCCUGGUAGUCCACGCCGUAAACGAUGAGUGCUAAGUGUUAGGGGGUUUCCGCCCCUUAGUGCUGCAGCUAACGCAUUAAGCACUCCGCCUGGGGAGUACGGUCGCAAGACUGAAACUCAAAGGAAUUGACGGGGGCCCGCACAAGCGGUUGGAGCAUGUGGUUUAAUUCGAAGCAACGCGAAGAACCUUAAGCAACGCGAAGAACCUUACCAGGUCUUGACAUCCUCUGACAAUCCUAGAGAUAGGACGUCCCCUUCGGGGGCAGAGUGACAGGUGGUGCAUGGUUGUCGUCAGCUCGUGUCGUGAGAUGUUGGGUUAAGUCCCGCAACGAGCGCAACCCUUGAUCUUAGUUGCCAGCAUUCAGUUGGGCACUCUAAGGUGACUGCCGGUGACAAACCGGAGGAAGGUGGGGAUGACGUCAAAUCAUCAUGCCCCUUAUGACCUGGGCUACACACGUGCUACAAUGGACAGAACAAAGGGCAGCGAAACCGCGAGGUUAAGCCAAUCCCACAAAUCUGUUCUCAGUUCGGAUCGCAGUCUGCAACUCGACUGCGUGAAGCUGGAAUCGCUAGUAAUCGCGGAUCAGCAUGCCGCGGUGAAUACGUUCCCGGGCCUUGUACACACCGCCCGUCACACCACGAGAGUUUGUAACACCCGAAGUCGGUGAGGUAACCUUUA